UACAGAGGGGGCGAGCGUUGUUCGGAAUUACUGGGCGUAAAGGGCGCGUAGGCGGCCUGCUAAGUCGGACGUGAAAUCCCUCGACUCAACCGGGGAACUGCGUCCGAUACUGGCGGGCUUGAAUCCGGGAGAGGAAUGCGGAAUUCCAGGUGUAGCGGUGAAAUGCGUAGAUAUCUGGAGGAACACCGGUGGCGAAGGCGGCAUUCUGGACCGGCAUUGACGCUGAUGCGCGAAAGCCAGGGGAGCAAACGGG
Molecule: ribosomal RNA, 253 nt
Filed under: uncultured bacterium
Lineage: Bacteria
Description: partial 16S ribosomal RNA
Rfam family: Bacterial small subunit ribosomal RNA
Source: RNAcentral